GCCUGACCUUGAGCAUCUCCAGUGCCUGGACACCCAUUACCUCUGGGCAACCUGUUCCAGUGCCUCGCCAAUUUUACCAUAUAGAACUUUGUUCUUAUUUCCAGUAUAAAUCUCCCCUUUUAGUUUGAAACAGUUUUCCCUUGUCCUGUUACAACAGGCCAUGUCCCACUCUUUUUUACAGCCUCCCUUUAGAUACCGAAAGGCUGCUCAGAGAUCUCCCCAGAGCCUUCUCCAGGCUAAACAGCCCCAGCCCCCUCAGCCUGUCCUUGAACCAAGGGAGAGGUGUUCUAUCCCUUGGAUUACUCAUGGCCCUCCUCUGGACAUGCUCCAACAGGUCCUUGGCUAUCCUAUAGUAAGGGCUCCACAUGUGAACACAUUGCUUCAGGUACUGGAAGAGGAGAAGCUAAAUUUCAUUUGAUGAUGUUAUGAAAGCCAAAGUUUUAGUUCUGAAUAGCAAAGCUUUCUAUUUCCCUGGCUCCUAACAAAGCAUGAGAACAGGACACAGUCCAGUGAAAUUUCCAUCCUUGAGGACAGCAAGCUAGACAGCUGACCUGGCUUAAUGCUGGCAAGUGUCCUGCUGCGAGCAGGAGGUUGGAUGAGAAAACCUCAAGAGAGCCCUUCCAAACAACAUCCCAACAGUCCUACAGUGGUGUGCAUGCAAUGAGUGUUACAUUUGGAUUGGCUUCUGGUGUCUGAAAAAGACUGAGAGUGGAUGAUCUCCUGCAUGAUUGCCAAGUUAGUAAAAUUCUUGAUCUUGGUAAAAUAGAAAUGCUUGAUUUAUUAUAGUUUUCUGUAUGUUAUAUUAGGAGAUGAAUUAUUCAGUUUUUCAUAUUUGCUAACUCCAAUAUUAUGUAGAAGGAGAUGCUGAAGCAGUUCAUGAAUAGGUCACAGUCAUUAACCCAGUUUUACAGAUGACCAAUUUGUGUUCUCGUUACAAAUGAUAGUUAGUCCUUUUCUGGAUUUUGGCAUUCUUCUUUCCCUUAGGAAAAAGAAAAAAAAACAAAACAAAAAGAACUGAAGGGAAAUUGCAGAUAAGCACAGGCACUCUGAUCUGUAACUCUUUAUCUUAUCUUUUGUCCAGGCCUUUUGAAGAGUACUAGCUUGACAAAAGGAGCCUGAGAUGAGAAAGAAACCUCUGACUCAUUUUAUUAUCAAUACCUUUACUGGAACUGGGAAGGCUUUUUUUUUUUUUUUUUUUUUUUUUGUCACAGGGAAAAGCUAGAGUGAGAAAGUACAAACCUCCAUCUUACAUACUAUGUAGAGCAUGGCUAAUAUGAUGCUAACAUUUUUACAUAUAUACCACGCUUUACUGCUAAUUAGGGCCAGGCAGAAGGAAUUAAGGGAGCCAUUUUCUACCCAGAAGUGUAAUCACAUCCAAAUCAGUGUUUAGCAUAUAGAUAUUUCAUUGAAUUUUGUUUGACUAAAGCAGCUCUCCAUGGGUUGUGAUAAGGUCUAAAUGUCUAGAUGUUCUACUGUUUUCUGAUAUUUUUUUUUCAGUGCAUUUUUUCAGUGCACAUUAUUAUAUAGUAUGUAAAAUGAUCACGUGGCAAUUACCCUUGAAAUAAAACAUUCACCUGAAAAUA
Long non-coding RNA from Gallus gallus (chicken), 1583 nucleotides. The record is from Ensembl. Lineage: Eukaryota; Metazoa; Chordata; Aves; Galliformes; Phasianidae.